Molecule: ribosomal RNA, 159 nt
Filed under: Salmonella enterica subsp. enterica serovar Infantis
Lineage: Bacteria; Pseudomonadati; Pseudomonadota; Gammaproteobacteria; Enterobacterales; Enterobacteriaceae
Also listed under: 1 other name
Description: partial 23S ribosomal RNA
Rfam family: Bacterial large subunit ribosomal RNA
Source: RNAcentral
UGAAAGCAUCUAAGCACGAAACUUGCCCCGAGAUGAGUUCUCCCUGAGACUUAGAGUCUCCUGAAGGAACGUUGAAGACGACGACGUUGAUAGGCCGGGUGUGUAAGCGCAGCGAUGCGUUGAGCUAACCGGUACUAAUGAACCGUGAGGCUUAACCUU